GGCGAGGCUUCUAGAACGCUUGCAUAAAGAGUCUGAGUCCAGAGCAGGAAGUUCACACAGAGAUUUUCAUAUUUGCUGCUAGUCCUUAAAUUCUUCCUGUUAGUGAAAUGCCAGCGAUCUUUUAAAGCUGGGGGAAGGGGGAGGGAAAGCCGCAGAGUGCUUGACCUGAGUGAGAGCCAGGCCACAGCCACACGGAAAAUUACCCCGAGCCGUGUUUACAGGCGACCAGACGGGCAGGGCGUCCCGGACUGUGGACCUGAGGUCAUUAGACCACGUGCUCCCUCCCUGAACAGGGGUACAAGGGCAAAGGCUGGAAGGCCUUUAGAGACACCUCCGUAUCCCCUUAUUUAACAAAUGGGGAAACUGAGGCACACAAUGGAGAGUUGAUGUGCCCUCUCAGUGACCCCCUUACCUUUGCUAACUCAGCUCGGACUCUGGUCUCAGGAUUCUCCCUCCAGAUGCCGGCUCAGCUAUGAAACGGCCCUGAGACCCUGGGCGAGUGACUGAAGGCUGCUCUGAGGCUCGGCUGCUCGUCUGUAACGGGACAGACAGAGGACCUGCCUCGCAGGGCGACUGUGUCAAAGGUCAGCAAAGCCAGCCAUGAGUCAAAGUGGUGAAAACAGAUGGUGCUCAGCCUCUUCUGCCGACAGAGGCAGGAGCGGAGAGCUCAGCCCUGUGCACAGGUGCCGGUGAUUCAGAGGGAGGACGAGGGAGACGCCCGGAUCAAAGGAAAACUCACAGGGGCUUUUGGAUGUUGCUGCCACAGCAUGGCUUGAUGAGGGUGUAAGUUGGUGCCUGGGAUCCAAACCCAUGACCCUGGGCUGCUGAAGCAGAGUGCACGAAACUUCAGCCACUCAGCCACGGGGCCAGCCCUACAAACAAUCUUUGAAUGGCCAGAGGCCUCCUCUCCACCAGGAGUGAGGUGGUAAGGGCAAGAAGGGAAGAAAUGACACUUGGUUAAGGAGCCACUGCUCAGGCGUGUCCACGGCCACCUCCAGUUCUCUUGGGCAGCCUAACAUCGGUCACAGUGGGCCCGCCUUCCUCCCUCUCUUCUGGGACCAGCCCACCCCAUCCCAGCUUCUCUGCCUGAAGCCAGCGGGUCAGUGAGGACGAGUGAGGACCCCAGACCCAGCUUGCCCACCGGUUUGUUAUGGGCUGCAGACUCUGGGUUCAAGGAGGGAAGUCAAAGGACUUUCCUUUUUACCUAACGUGUUUUAUCAGAAGUUUUGCAAGCUGGGGUUAUUGAAUAGUUUCCAGUCAUUAAUAAAGCUAACGUUUUAUUCUC
This 1285-nucleotide long non-coding RNA is filed under the name Equus caballus (horse). RNAcentral describes it as "lncRNA (ENSECAG00000058198.1)". The record is from RNAcentral. Lineage: Eukaryota; Metazoa; Chordata; Mammalia; Perissodactyla; Equidae.